RNA transcript from Carya illinoinensis, 3674 nucleotides. RefSeq lists it as uncharacterized. NCBI's taxonomy places the organism in Eukaryota, Viridiplantae, Streptophyta, Magnoliopsida, Fagales, Juglandaceae. The record is from RefSeq and is a predicted model, not a curated record. The transcript has 4 exons.
UUCCGAAGCUUUUUAUUUGGCUCUUCAGUUCUUACACUUACUACUGUUCGUUGAGAGAGAUGGCGAAGACAAGGGCAUGGGUGGCUUUGUUGUUUUGCUUGGCGGUGCUGUGGCCGGGGAUGUGUUGGUGCUGGGGACAGAACGCCAUGGAUGAUGCGAAGGAGAGGAUGAAGGCGGCGGCAGAGAGUUCCAGCGUGAAAGCGGAGGAGGCCAAACAAGGCGCUGCCGAGGCCAUGCACGAUUCCAAAGACAAGAUGGAUUCCUGGGUCGAUUGGGCUUAUGACAAGUUCAAUGAGGGAUUUGGACUUGGACAGAACAAUGCAAAAGAGGAUGUUCAAAAUACGAUGGAUAAAGCUGGGUAUGCUGCAUGGAGAGCCACGGAGACAAUGAGUUCUGCAGGAUCUGAUGCACCAAAGUAUGCUUCCAAGAUGGCGGGUGAUGCAAAACACUUCGUCUCUGAGGAAGCCGAUCAAACUAUAAGAAUGGCUACAGACAAGGUUGGUGAGGCGGGCGAGACAAUAGCAGGAGCGAUGGAAUAUGGGAAAAACAAAGGAGCUGAUGCUUACGAGGACGCUAGCGCGACACUGAACAUGGCUACAGAAACGGCUUCCAAUAGAGCUGGGGAUGCUCAAGAGAAGAUUUCAGAAGCAAUGGGGUAUGCAAAAGAUAAAGCAGCAGAUGGCUAUGAUGGAGCUAAGCAGAAAAUGAAUGUAGCUUCAAACAUGGCCUGGGAUAAGGCCCAGGAUGGGGGAGAGAUGAUGGAAGAAGCAAUGGGAUACGAAAAGGAGAAUGCAGCCUAUGCGUAUGACAAAGCAAAGCAUCGUGUGGAGGACUUGUACAUGACAGCGAAGGAGACAAUGACAGAACAUGCCAAGACUAAUUACAAGGCUGCAAAGGAGAAGGCUUCGCAGGCUGCAGGCGAUGUCGGGGCUAAGAUGAGGAACGUUAAGGGAGAGCUAUGAAGGGAGGGAAUGAUCAUGAUGUACCACUUUUACCAAGUUAUAAUCUUCUUGAUCAAGCCAUCUAUAUAGCAAUAUUGAGCCAUUAAUGCCAGCUCUAGUCCAUUAAGAAGGGACGCUUCCAUCUUCUGAGAACUCUUUUUACGUGGUAUUGGUAUCUUUCGUACAAGAUUGCGUCUAGCAAAUUCCGGCCACUUUUUUCUGCUACCAUGAAUCCUCGCCUCAAUAUCGAUGUUUCACAAAGGGUCCAGCUGCUAUAUAUAUAUAUUUUGCACGCUAAAGACUAGGACUGUUUAGAUCCUUUCCAAUCCCAUAUAUAGUACUACUGCAUGCUAGUAAUGUUGCAAGUCUUUCUCUCAGUUUUCCAAUUCCAUUGUGAUUUCUUGUGAGAAUGCCAACAUUUUUUUACAUCAAAAUUUGGAAAGUUAAAGAUCUGCAGAUUAGACACUUGAACUUGCAUUAGGACUCAUGGCAUCUUUUUCCUUUUCUUUUUUUCCUCCGAAAAGGAUUUCUAAAUUUAUGUGAAAACCGGCCUCUUCAUCCAGGUCAUGAAUUAUAUAUAUUUAGAAUCAACCUAAAUUAUAACCCUAUUUUUAAUUCGGAAUAUCUUCCAGCAAAAUUCCCUAUAUGACUCCUCCAUUGAUGUUUUAUACGGCCUGGCCAUGGGUAAUAAAGGCGUUUGCCGUACGAACCUUUGUUCAGAUUGGCAGACGUGAUCUUUGCCUCUCCACGUGCAACAGUAAAUACAUGACAGAUAAAACUCAUCUAGUUUUGAUACUGAACCACAACCCACAAUAGGAGUCGGAUGGUAAUUAAUUAACACAAAUUCUCAAACAUGGUAAAAGAGAACUAUAUCGAGUGUCGGUGUUUAUUGAAGUACAGUUCAGUGAACAUGUGACACAUUCAGUCCCGUCUGAUUUCUGAGAAAAAUAGAAGUAGCAUAUAUAGGGUUUCAUGGAACCAAAGCAAUUACUUUACUAAAGAGUUAAAGAAGGAAAUCAUGAGAUAGUAAUUAAGAACUACUUACGAAUGUUAAAGAGAGAAUUUUUAUUACAGAUUAAACAUAAACUUGUUUUUUUUUUUUUUUCCUCUUUUGAUGAAUGAACAUGUUAGUUCAUAUUCACAUGUUCAUUCAUCCAACAAAACCAAAAGCUGUUUCAUUUUUCUAUCUUUACCCUUUUUCCCUGAUUUGCCUUGAUCCGUGAAAACUUGAUCUAGCUAGCUAUUUUUGGAAUAAAGAAGAUGAGAGACAGAAUAUUUUCAGUAGAAAGAUAAUAAACAUGGGCGUACCAAUUAUUGAGAGAAUAUUUAUGACUACCAAGAGUCACCGAAUUAGAAGAAGAUUUAUAGAUUGAUUGAGGUUAAUUUAUAGCAUCACUGCGAAUUGCACCAAAAAAAAGGUUAUUGCUGAUACAGUAGUGGGUGGGUAAUCUAACUCCUCCAUUUGAUCUGUACCUCUGUGCAUAUCUAAUCUAAUCAUUCACCGAAUAUAUGCAUUUGCUGAUCAGUAAAAGUAAUCUCAAGGGUUUGAAAAAUUUGAUUUGCCUUACAUUUGCUUCUUCUUCAGGGCUUGUUUAUUGUUGUGCAUCCAUACCUUGAAAACUUUCCUCUUUACACCCACUUCUGAACAGAACUGCUGGACUUCUUGGUCGUCAUGUUUCUGGAUCUUCCACCCCAACUUCUCAGCAAAUUCCAUCAUCUUAUCCUUCUGUUCCUGAGUAAAUUUUGUCCGAAACCUCCUUUUGGAUUGCGGCGCUUGUACUGAAGUUUGCAUACCAACAUUAGACCGAAACAUAUUGAGAUCUUCGCUCGAAGACUCGGCUGCCGCUCCAAAGCCGCCUCCAAAGGCCAUCAUCACCGGUGCGGUGGCUCCCGUCAAAGGAGCUGUGGAUAGAACAUGCGGGAAUUUCUGGUGAUGGUGAUAUACAUGAGCCGAGGGAGGAGGGAGUGGAGGAUGAUGUUGAGAAGGUAUCAUUUCUCUUUGGCCAUUGUUUAUGCUGGGGUUCGGGUAGUAACAAUUGGAAACAUAUUUUGAAUCACCCUCGACUUCUUUCCGAUGGAAAUUCCGGUGGCAUUCACAAGCUGCACACUGUAAGGCCUCCGGGGUGCCUUCCUCCCCGCUUGACAUGAAUUCUCCGCAGCCAUCCACAACGUGCCCGCCCGUGCUGGCCACGUGGUUCUUCAUACAUUCUCUAUAUCUCACCUUUGGUGCAGCCCUAAUGGUAGAGAUGCUUCGUGGUGGUUGUGGGAGUGGUGAUUUUAAUGUUGAUGCACCAGUUCUGGUUGGUGUGCUUAUUGCACCUGUGGCUGCAAGCUGAGCUGGGACUGGAUCUGGAUUUGGGUCUGGAUCUCUUCUGGGUUUGUGUGCAUCUUGGUGUGGAUGUGGAUCUGACUGAUGAGGAGGAGGAGGAGGAGGAUGAUGAUGAUAAACAGGAUGAUGAUCUAGGGCUUGAGCUGGGUUAACGAUCGUGUUACCAUGAACAGUUUGAUCCCUUCGUCUUUCUCCCACAGCUGAAGCUACAAGUGGAGAAGACAGCUUGUUGGUGGUUGACUCUCUGUGGGAUGGAUCAUAGCUCAAGGUGCUCGGCAUCCCCAUCUCUUUAUCUUGGCCUCUCAGUUCCAUUUUAAAUCUGAUUCUGAUGUGAAUCCUUGAUCUAAGCCUUGAUCUCAGUCUCCCUUUUUGUUUUGAAAAUAAUAAAAAUGACUCUCAAAACA